RNAcentral lists this transfer RNA (77 nucleotides) under Patescibacteria group bacterium. Its description in RNAcentral is "tRNA-Arg". It matches the Rfam family "tRNA". Rfam says of the family: Transfer RNA (tRNA) molecules are approximately 80 nucleotides in length. Their secondary structure includes four short double-helical elements and three loops (D, anti-codon, and T loops). Further hydrogen bonds mediate the characteristic L-shaped molecular structure. tRNAs have two regions of fundamental functional importance: the anti-codon, which is responsible for specific mRNA codon recognition, and the 3' end, to which the tRNAs corresponding amino acid is attached (by aminoacyl-tRNA synthetases). tRNAs cope with the degeneracy of the genetic code in two manners: having more than one tRNA (with a specific anti-codon) for a particular amino acid; and 'wobble' base-pairing, i.e. permitting non-standard base-pairing at the 3rd anti-codon position. The record is from RNAcentral.
GCCCUCUUAGCUCAACUGGAUAGAGCGCUUGGCUUCGGACCAAGAGGCUGGGGGUUCGAAUCCCUCAGAGGGCACCA